CCCAGACUCCUACGGGAGGCAGCAGUGAGGAAUAUUGGUCAAUGGGCGUAAGCCUGAACCAGCCAAGUCGCGUGAGGGACGACGGCCCUACGGGUUGUAAACCUCUUUUGCCGGGGGACAAACGGCGGCACGCGUGCCGUCCUGAGGGUACCCGGAGAAAAAGCAUCGGCCAACUCCGUGCCAGCAGCCGCGGUAAUACGGAGGAUGCGAGCGUUAUCCGGAUUUAUUGGGGUUAAAGGGUGGGGAGGCGGGAGUGCAAGGUCAGCGGGAAAUGCGGGGGCCUAACCCUGGCUCCGCCGUUGAAACUGGCGUGCUUGAGUGGGCGAGAAGUAUGCGGAAUGCGUGGUGUAGCGGUGAAAUGCAUAGAUAUCACGCAGAACUCCGAUUGCGAAGGCAGCAUACCGGAGCGCGACUGACGCUGAGGCACGAAAGCGUGGGUAUCGAACAGGAUUAGAUACCCCCGUA
This 465-nucleotide ribosomal RNA is filed under the name uncultured bacterium. RNAcentral's name for it is "partial 16S ribosomal RNA". It matches the Rfam family "Bacterial small subunit ribosomal RNA", at positions 330 to 792 of the family's 1533-position model. The record is from RNAcentral.